UAUAAAUUUGAGGUGCAAAAGAGCUGUCUUUUUGCUUUUACGAGGAAAGAAAAAAGGCCCUCAAACUUUGGUCCGCAGGUCCGGCAUUCUCCCUUCCUCUCCAGGCUUCAUCAGCACCAUCACAAUCUCUUCUCUUCUCCUCUUCUGAACUUAAAAGGAAAACUGAAAAAGAUAAAGCUCCCAAAAAACGACAACGACAACAACAACAACUUCGAAGAUCAAAAGGCCUCAACUCUUUUUCACGCGCGCACAUAAAUCUCAUUUGUUGUCUCCCGAUUCAUGCAGAGCUUAUUUUUAUUGGCUAAUCUGAUUGGAGGAUCAUAAUAAUCUCGUUCUUCUUCACAAUGAGAGCCGAGCGUGGAAGGAUCUCCAAGCAUGCUUCAUGGCCGAGAUUAGUGAGAAAAUGGCUAAACAUACAAGCUGAUGAAUUUUAUUCCGACUACGCCAUAGAA
Long non-coding RNA from Morus notabilis, 452 nucleotides. RefSeq lists it as uncharacterized. The record is from RefSeq and is a predicted model, not a curated record. Lineage: Eukaryota; Viridiplantae; Streptophyta; Magnoliopsida; Rosales; Moraceae. The transcript is spliced from 3 exons.